Salvelinus sp. IW2-2015 is the source of this 283-nucleotide non-coding RNA. The record is from RefSeq and is a predicted model, not a curated record. Lineage: Eukaryota; Metazoa; Chordata; Actinopteri; Salmoniformes; Salmonidae.
CUUAACAUGUUUAUUUACAGCUUGUUGUGACGUGACGCGCGUGACUGUGGCAGCCAGGCCCAGAUGCCGUGCGCAGGUGAGCGAGGUGUCCCGGGGAAAGGUCGACCUCUCCUGCAGUCGUUUGGAGUGAGACUCAAGCAAGCGUCCAGAGUUUCAGUCAAUAAAAGUUGGGCGCAUGGGAACAGAAGAGACCACCCUUUCUCCGCAACAAUAAAGAAGACUAAACAACUUCCCAAAUCACGAGGACCUGAGCCCUAGGACCAUGCCUCAGGACUACCUGGCU